GACGAACGCUGGCGGCGUGCUUAACACAUGCAAGUCGAGCGGACGGAGAACUUCGGUUCAAAGUUAGCGGCGGACGGGUGAGUAACGCGUGAACAAUCUGUCCCAGACAGGGGGAUAACAGUCUGAAAAGGCUGCUAAUACCGCAUAAGACCACAGUGCCGCAUGGCACAGGGGUAAAAGAAUUUCGGUUUGGGGUGAGUUCGCGUCUGAUUAGCUAGUUGGUGAGGUAACGGCUCACCAAGCCGACGAUCUUUAGCUGGUCUGAGAGGAUGAUCAGCCACACUGGGACUGAGACACGGCCCAG
Molecule: ribosomal RNA, 304 nt
Filed under: uncultured bacterium
Lineage: Bacteria
Description: bacterial SSU rRNA
Rfam family: Bacterial small subunit ribosomal RNA
Source: RNAcentral